This 552-nucleotide ribosomal RNA is filed under the name uncultured bacterium. Its description in RNAcentral is "bacterial SSU rRNA". It matches the Rfam family "Bacterial small subunit ribosomal RNA", at positions 374 to 917 of the family's 1533-position model. The record is from RNAcentral.
GGGGGCACCCUGAUCNAGCCAUGCCGCGUGGGUGAAGAAGGCCUUCGGGUUGUAAAGCCCUUUUGUACGGGAAGAAAAGCUUGGGGUUAAUAACCCUGAGUCAUGACGGUACCGUAAGAAUAAGCACCGGCUAACUUCGUGCCAGCAGCCGCGGUAAUACGAAGGGUGCAAGCGUUACUCGGAAUUACUGGGCGUAAAGCGUGCGUAGGUGGUGAGUUAAGUCUGAUGUGAAAUCCCCGGGCUCAACCUGGGAAUGGCAUUGGAUACUGGCUCGCUAGAGUGCGGUAGAGGGUGGUGGAAUUCCCGGUGUAGCAGUGAAAUGCGUAGAGAUCGGGAGGAACAUCUGUGGCGAAGGCGGCCACCUGGACCAACACUGACACUGAGGCACGAAAGCGUGGGGAGCAAACAGGAUUAGAUACCCUGGUAGUCCACGCCCUAAACGAUGCGAACUGGAUGUUGGGUGCAACUUGGCACUCAGUAUCGAAGCUAACGCGUUAAGUUCGCCGCCUGGGGAGUACGGUCGCAAGACUGAAACUCAAAAAAAUUGACGGA